AUGGGAUGCCUCGCCUCCAGACAUCCUUUCCCACUUUUUCAGUUGGUGAAUUAAAGGAACAGCCCUCCCAGCGGAACGGGGUUAGCUCAUGAAAGACGCACUCACUCCCUGCUCUCUGCCAGGAAGAGAACCUAUUUGCAUACAAUUUAUUGCAAAAGUAGGAAUUCCCUCUCCCCUCGCCUCCUGCCCCUGACUGGGAGCAGCUGUUAGUAACUAAGAGUGGUUUUUGCUUUGCUCCGCAGACGGUUUUUCUAACUGUGAGACGGAAGCCCAGGGAGCGAGAGGGAGAAGACUCAGCAGCUCUGGCUCUCUCACCAGGCAAGCUGGAAACAUGGAAAGGAGACCGGGGGCUAACCCGCCCGGGCGCUGGGCAGCAGCUGCUCAGUGGCGCCUCGGAGAGAGCAGAGGGGCUGAGCCGAAUUCCUGGAAAGAGGAGAUAAAGCCUUUCGAAAGCCUGGGAGUGUUUGGGGUUUCUCAGGGCCAGCAGAGAGAUACGGCAUUAGUUCUCAGCAGGUGGGGAAAGCACUGGGAACACAGAUCAGUCUGGAGUCUCUUUUGGGGAGACAGCCACAGUCCCGUCCAGCUGCCUGGAGGCGGUAUUGUCCCAGCCCCGGUGCACUACAGGGGAGCAGCUUUUUGACACUGAACAUGCCCUGUGCCUGGUCCUGUCUUCUAAGCUGCCUCUCCUAAAGAAAGGUCUCCGAGUUUUCUUCUCAAUGCUGAAAGGUGCCCACCAUAAGAAAAAAAAGUAACAAGUUAAUCUUUGAAACAUAAGCUGCGCCUUUGCUCUCCAGCCUGCUGUGGAUUCUUUCCAAGCUCUGAGUCAUCGAUGAAGAAAAUGAAGUUCGGAGAAGUAAUGGAAUCUCACUGAGGGAAUGCACCUGGGGAGCAUUUAAAUGACAACACUGGGCUUCACAGUUCUUUCUAUUACACGUUACUGCCCAGGAACAUUAACAUAAGAGGGAAACUAGAUUCCCCAACACAUCCAUUUCACAGGUGAGGAGAGGGGGCCCAGAGAAGAGAAAUGACUUACCCAAGGCCACCUCGGCUGCUUUCCAUGAAGAUGGUCCUCAAGGUCAGAAAUGAGCAACCAAACCACAUUAGACAUUACAGCGGAGGAUGCUUAUGGAAUCAAUACCCAUUCAUCCUCCUGUCUGGCAGAGGCUGCACCUCUUGGCAUCCGGUGUCUUAUGGUGGCCCUCUGCUCAGUACGGUAAACACUUUUUCCCAAAGCUGUGUAUUCCCUCUGUAACCUGCGUUAAGUCCUGAGAUCCUUUGACUCACUUGCAUUCAUCACGGCAGCCUGCACGCACACCAGCAAACAUGACCAAAACCAGCCCCUCA
Long non-coding RNA from Balaenoptera acutorostrata (minke whale), 1344 nucleotides. RefSeq lists it as uncharacterized. Lineage: Eukaryota; Metazoa; Chordata; Mammalia; Artiodactyla; Balaenopteridae. The transcript has 3 exons. The record is from RefSeq and is a predicted model, not a curated record.